RNAcentral lists this ribosomal RNA (254 nucleotides) under uncultured bacterium. RNAcentral describes it as "partial 16S ribosomal RNA". It matches the Rfam family "Bacterial small subunit ribosomal RNA", at positions 524 to 776 of the family's 1533-position model. The record is from RNAcentral.
UACGUAGGGUGCAAGCGUUAAUCGGAAUUACUGGGCGUAAAGCGUGCGCAGGCGGUUCUAUAAGACAGAUGUGAAAUCCCCGGGCUCAACCUGGGAACUGCAUUUGUGACUGUAGAGCUGGAGUGCGGCAGAGGGGGGAUGGAAUUCCUGGUGUAGCAGUGAAAUGCGUAGAUAUCAGGAGGAACACCGAUGGCGAAGGCAGGUCUCUGGGCUGACACUGACGCUCAUGCACGAAAGCGUGGGGAGCAAACAGG